This 468-nucleotide ribosomal RNA is filed under the name uncultured bacterium. Its description in RNAcentral is "partial 16S ribosomal RNA". The stretch from base 58 to 468 matches the Rfam family "Bacterial small subunit ribosomal RNA", at positions 39 to 507 of the family's 1533-position model. The record is from RNAcentral.
GGGGGGGGGGGGGGGGGGGGGGGGGGGGGGGGGGGCGGGGGGGGGGGCCCGGGGGUUGGGGGGUGCGCGAGUGGCGGACGGGUUGGUCACGCGUGGGUGGCCUGCCCUUGACUUGGGGGUAACUUCCGGAACCUGGGGCUCGUGCCGUGUAGGAUCUCCUGCUGCGUUUUUGGGGUUUGAACUUUUCGUCGGUUGGGGAUGUCCGCGCGGCUUAUCCGCUUGUUGGUGGGGUAGUGGCUUACCAAGGCUUUGACGGGUAGCCGGCCUGAGAGGGUGACCGGCCACAGUGGGACUGAGAUACGGCCCAGACUCCUACGGGAGGCAGCAGUCGGGAAUAUUGCACAAUGGGCGGAAGCCUGAGGCAGCAACGCCGCGUGCGGGAUGACGGCCUUCGGGUUGUAAACCGCUUUCGCCUGUGACGAAGCGGGAGUGACGGUAAUGGGUAAAGAAGCACCGGCUAACUACGUG